GCCCGGCUAGCUCAAUCGGUAGAGCGUGAGACUCUUACUCCUGCUAGAAAGGAAACUUUCAGGGUAGAAAAAGACUAUCUCAAGGUUGUGGGUUCGACCCCCACGUCGGGCU
Molecule: non-coding RNA, 112 nt
Organism: Rhypophila decipiens
Lineage: Eukaryota; Fungi; Ascomycota; Sordariomycetes; Sordariales; Naviculisporaceae
Source: the annotation of a GenBank genome assembly